AUGUUGGAAAGUGUGCAGAGGAUGGAGAAAGGUCUGGAGGAAUGGCUGAGGGUGUUUCAGGACACUCAGGGAUCUUCAGCUCUGAUCUCUGUGACCGAGACAGGAUCCUGGGAAUGGCUGGAGCUGUGCCAGGGGAGGUUUAGGAUGGAUUUUAGGGAAAGGUUUUCCUCCACAGAGUCCCCAGAAAAUGGGAUGAAGCUGUGCCAGGGGAGGUUUAGGAUGGAUUUUAGGGAAAGGUUUUCCUCCACAGUGCCCAGGCUUCUCAGGAAAUGGGAUGAAACUGCCAGGGAAGGUUUAGGAUGGAUUUUAGGGAAAGAUUCUUCCUCCACAGAGUCCCCAGGAAAUGGGAUGAAACUGCCAGGGGAGGUUUAGGAUGGAUUUUAGGGCCCCCAGAGGGUGCUGGGCACACCCAGGCUCCCCAGAGAAUGGGGAAUGGGGUGAAGCUGUGCCAGGGAAUGUUUAGGAUGGAUUUUAGGGAAAGAUUUUUCCUCCAGAGAGCCCCCAGGGAAUGAGGUGAAACUGUGCCAGGGGAUGUUUAGGAUGGAUUUUAGGGAAAGGUUCUUCCUCCACACUGCCCAGGCU
RNAcentral lists this long non-coding RNA (582 nucleotides) under Zonotrichia albicollis (white-throated sparrow). RNAcentral's name for it is "lncRNA (ENSZALG00000005081.1)". The record is from RNAcentral. Lineage: Eukaryota; Metazoa; Chordata; Aves; Passeriformes; Passerellidae.